Molecule: long non-coding RNA, 1405 nt
Filed under: Setaria viridis
Lineage: Eukaryota; Viridiplantae; Streptophyta; Magnoliopsida; Poales; Poaceae
Description: long non-coding RNA (SVIR_LNC006812)
Source: RNAcentral
GGGAAGAAUGAAGGCAUACCUUUUUUCUCAUGUAUUGCUAAGUCUAAGACCAGAUCCUUUGGAGAAGCAAGUCACACAACCUGAUCAAGAUGUGCAUGUGUGUGGAUGGUGGAUAUGGUGGAUGGUGUGAGGACUCCUUUUUGUAUGAUCCAUCUCUUUCCUAUGCGUUUUCUUUUGGGGACACGGGCUAUCUUUUUUUUCUCUUUCUUUUUUUUUCAUCAUGCUUUCAUGAGCAUGUCUUUUUAUCUCUUUUUGCAUAGCCCAUGUCUAUUUUGUAAGGAUAAGUUUGGAGAGAGAGGUCAUAGAACAACAUGGAGCUUUAUUUUUUGGAUGGAUGUAUGGAUGGUAUAAUUGCUAACUUCCAGUGUAGAAGUUUAGCAUAUGGUGGUGGCAUGUACAUGAUCUUGAUCAUGGGAGUAUGCAAAGCAUCUCACUAAGGGUCACAACAAUUUGACAAAGCUCAAUGAGAAAAUGCAUAUGUGGAGGCUAUUCAAUAGGAUCAACAUAUGGCCUUGGAUAGGAAUUUCUCAUCAUUGAGGAACUUACAAUUUUUUUCAUUUUCAAAAUAUAAACUCCAGAUAUCAAGCAUCAUGUAGAACAAGAUCACAGCAACUCUAUUCUACGAUAUCAUAUCUCACCACAACCUAGACAUGGAUCAUGCUUUUUGCUACCCACAAAUUUCAAGCUAAGGUUUCAUCAUGCAAGCCAACAAACUCAAAACUAAGUAGGAUACUAAGUUGUAACUAGACAUAUGAGAGGAAAUAAAUAGAGAAACUAUCUAUCAUUUCAACCAUGAGGAAUUAAAGCAUUCUUACUGCACAUAGGAAAAUAGUAAAUAUUUUUGGUCUUUUUAGUUUUUCAGAUUUUUAUUUGUUUUUAGCAUGCAUAUUCUGAAAGCGGUAAAGAUACAAGCUAGCUUCAGGCUCACUAUCCCUGGUUGGGGUUGUACCCCGCCCAACGAAAGUGAACUUUCCACUCCUCCUCUUGCUACUGCUACAGUGCACUUUGACAAGCUGGAUACCCAAACUUGCAACAAAAGUGUGACAACAUGGGGCAGCAUCCAUGUGGGCAAAUGAACUUUCCCCAAGUUGUUGCUUUCACUGAGUUCAAACCCAUGGAAUAGAGCAAAUAGAGGAAGAGAGUUUCCUUGCUUCUUUCUCCUAAGUGAAAUCUAUCAAAAGAACCUAAGAGCCAAUUCAGGGGAGGAGUGAAUACCAUGGAUGGGCAAGACUCCUCUCCCAUUCACCCCUUGUAGAGUUUAGGAGAACAAAUGGUCGGAUGACGACUGGGAGUGACAACUUAGAAGUUGUUGAGGCAAGUGAGACCUAAAAAUGAUGGACUUGGUCGAAUUGGAGAUUCUAUCGACACAUAGUAGGUUUCCAUUGCUGCCCCUCCCCCCUCCCCC